This 76-nucleotide transfer RNA is filed under the name Corynebacterium accolens. RNAcentral's name for it is "tRNA-Ser". It matches the Rfam family "tRNA". From Rfam's summary of the family: Transfer RNA (tRNA) molecules are approximately 80 nucleotides in length. Their secondary structure includes four short double-helical elements and three loops (D, anti-codon, and T loops). RNAcentral also lists the same sequence under 4 other names. The record is from RNAcentral. Lineage: Bacteria; Bacillati; Actinomycetota; Actinomycetes; Mycobacteriales; Corynebacteriaceae.
GCCGCGUUAGCUCAAUUGGUAGAGGAGUGGGAAGAAGCCCACAUGGACCCUGGUUCGAUUCCAGGACGCGGCACCA